This 69-nucleotide transfer RNA is filed under the name Ictidomys tridecemlineatus (thirteen-lined ground squirrel). RNAcentral describes it as "Spermophilus tridecemlineatus (thirteen-lined ground squirrel) tRNA". It matches the Rfam family "tRNA". Rfam says of the family: Transfer RNA (tRNA) molecules are approximately 80 nucleotides in length. Their secondary structure includes four short double-helical elements and three loops (D, anti-codon, and T loops). Lineage: Eukaryota; Metazoa; Chordata; Mammalia; Rodentia; Sciuridae. The record is from Rfam by way of RNAcentral.
GGGAUUGUGGCUCAGUGGCAGAGCACUUGCCUCACAUGUAUGAGGCACUGGGUUCAAUCCUCAGCACCA